RNAcentral lists this ribosomal RNA (517 nucleotides) under uncultured bacterium. RNAcentral describes it as "bacterial SSU rRNA". It matches the Rfam family "Bacterial small subunit ribosomal RNA", at positions 32 to 518 of the family's 1533-position model. The record is from RNAcentral.
ACGACGCUGGCGGCGUGCCUAAUACAUGCAAGUCGAACGGUCUUUUCUAUGGAAGCUUGCUUCCACUGAGAAGAUAGUGGCGAACGGGUGAGUAACACGUGGGUAACCUGCCCAUAAGAGGGGGAUAACAUCCGGAAACGGGUGCUAAUACCGCAUAGUUUUUCUUGAUCGCAUGAUUGAGAAAGGAAAGACGGCCUUUGUGCUGUCGCUUAUGGAUGGACCCGCGGCGUAUUAGUUAGUUGGUGAGGUAACGGCUCACCAAGACGAUGAUACGUAGCCGACCUGAGAGGGUGAUCGGCCACAUUGGGACUGAGACACGGCCCAAACUCCUACGGGAGGCAGCAGUAGGGAAUCUUCCGCAAUGGACGAAAGUCUGACGGAGCAACGCCGCGUGAGUGAAGAAGGUUGUCCGGAUCGUAAAACUCUGUUGUCAGAGAAGAACAAGUUGGAGAGUAACUGCUCCAGCCUUGACGGUAUCUGACCAGAAAGCCACGGCUAACUACGUGCCAGCAGCUGC